This 352-nucleotide ribosomal RNA is filed under the name uncultured Chlamydiae bacterium. RNAcentral describes it as "bacterial SSU rRNA". It matches the Rfam family "Bacterial small subunit ribosomal RNA", at positions 1045 to 1397 of the family's 1533-position model. The record is from RNAcentral. Lineage: Bacteria; Pseudomonadati; Chlamydiota; Chlamydiia.
AUGGCUGUCGUCAGCUCGUGCCGUGAGGUGUUGGGUUAAGUCCCGCAACGAGCGCAACCCUUAUCACUAGUUGCCAGCACUUAGGGUGGGAACUCUAGUGAGACUGCCUGGGUUAACCAGGAGGAAGGUGAGGAUGACGUCAAGUCAGCAUGGCCCUUAUGUCUGGGGCGACACACGUGCUACAAUGGCCGGUACAGAAGGCAGCAAAACCGCAAGGUGGAGCAAAUCCCAAAAACCGGUCCCAGUUCGGAUUGUAGUCUGCAACUCGACUACAUGAAGUCGGAAUUGCUAGUAAUGGCGCGUCAGCCAUAGCGCCGUGAAUACGUUCCCGGGCCUUGUACACACCGCCCGU